Molecule: ribosomal RNA, 985 nt
Filed under: Flavobacterium sp.
Lineage: Bacteria; Pseudomonadati; Bacteroidota; Flavobacteriia; Flavobacteriales; Flavobacteriaceae
Description: bacterial SSU rRNA
Rfam family: Bacterial small subunit ribosomal RNA
Source: RNAcentral
CAAGCGGGCAGGCUUUAACACAUGCAGUCGAGGGGUAGGGUUCUUCGGAACCUGAGACCGGCGCACGGGUGCGUAACGCGUAUGCAAUCUACCUUUUACAGAGGGAUAGCCCAGAGAAAUUUGGAUUAAUACCUCAUAGUAUAUAGACUCGGCAUCGAGAUUAUAUUAAAGUCACAACGGUAAAAGAUGAGCAUGCGUCCCAUUAGCUAGUUGGUAAGGUAACGGCUUACCAAGGCUACGAUGGGUAGGGGUCCUGAGAGGGAGAUCCCCCACACUGGUACUGAGACACGGACCAGACUCCUACGGGAGGCAGCAGUGAGGAAUAUUGGACAAUGGGCGCAAGCCUGAUCCAGCCAUGCCGCGUGCAGGAUGACGGUCCUAUGGAUUGUAAACUGCUUUUAUACGAGAAGAAACACUGCUUCGUGAAGCAGCUUGACGGUAUCGUAAGAAUAAGGAUCGGCUAACUCCGUGCCAGCAGCCGCGGUAAUACGGAGGAUCCAAGCGUUAUCCGGAAUCAUUGGGUUUAAAGGGUCCGUAGGCGGUUUAAUAAGUCAGUGGUGAAAGCCCAUCGCUCAACGGUGGAACGGCCAUUGAUACUGUUAAACUUGAAUUAUUAGGAAGUAACUAGAAUAUGUAGUGUAGCGGUGAAAUGCUUAGAGAUUACAUGGAAUACCAAUUGCGAAGGCAGGUUACUACUAAUGGAUUGACGCUGAUGGACGAAAGCGUGGGUAGCGAACAGGAUUAGAUACCCUGGUAGUCCACGCCGUAAACGAUGGAUACUAGCUGUUGGAAGCAAUUUCAGUGGCUAAGCGAAAGUGAUAAGUAUCCCACCUGGGGAGUACGUUCGCAAGAAUGAAACUCAAAGGAAUUGACGGGGGCCCGCACAAGCGGUGGAGCAUGUGGUUUAAUUCGAUGAUACGCGAGGAACCUUACCAAGGCUUAAAUGUAGAUUGACCGUUUUGGAAACAGAACUUUCGCAAGACAU